AACGAACGCUGGCGGCAGGCCUAAUACAUGCAAGUCGAGCGAGGACUCCGGGCGUUUGCGCGGACGGGGGUGGAAGGCGACGGAACGUUCCCUUGGGGUUGGCAUACCUCUGGGAAACGGGGAAUUAUACCGGAUGGGCCCUUUUGCGGGAAGAUUUAUCGACGAAGGAUCGGACCUCGUUGGAUUAGGUAGUGGGUUGGGUAAUGGCCUACCAAGCCGACGAUCCAUAGCUGGUUAGAGUGGAUGAUUAGCCACACUGGGACUGAGACACGGCCCAGACGCCUACGGGAGGCAGCAGUGGGGAAUCGUAGAAACUGGGGGAAACCCUGGUAUAGCCAUGCCGCGUAAAACACGAAUGUCUUAGGGUUGUAAAGCUCUAUCUGCCGGGAAGCUUAUGACCGUACCCGAAGCAGAAGCCCCCGCUAACUCCGUG
RNAcentral lists this ribosomal RNA (433 nucleotides) under uncultured bacterium. RNAcentral describes it as "partial 16S ribosomal RNA". It matches the Rfam family "Bacterial small subunit ribosomal RNA", at positions 29 to 507 of the family's 1533-position model. The record is from RNAcentral.